RNAcentral lists this ribosomal RNA (460 nucleotides) under uncultured bacterium. Its description in RNAcentral is "partial 16S ribosomal RNA". It matches the Rfam family "Bacterial small subunit ribosomal RNA", at positions 338 to 795 of the family's 1533-position model. The record is from RNAcentral.
CCUACGGGAUGCAGCAGUGAGGAAUAUUGGUCAAUGGACGGAAGUCUGAACCAGCCAUGCCGCGUGCAGGAUGACUGCUCUAUGAGUUGUAAACUGCUUUUGUAUUAGUGUAAACACGCCUACGGGUAUGGGCUUGAAAGUAUAAUACGAAUAAGGAUAGGCGAACUCCGUGCCAGAAGCCGCGGUAAUACGGAGGAGCCAAGCUUUAUCCGGAUUUAUUGGGUUUAAAGGGUGCGUAGGCGGUUUGAUAAGUUAGAGGUGAAAGACCGGUGCUCAACCCCGGGACUGCCUCUAAUACUGUUGAACUAGAGAGUAGUUGCGGUAGGCGGAAUGUAUGGUGUAGCGGUGAAAUGCUUAGAGAUCAUACAGAACACCGAUUGCGAAGGCAGCUUACCAAACUAUAUCUGACGUUGAGGCACGAAAGCGUGGGUAGCAAACAGGAUUAGAUACCCCUGUAGUC